Molecule: ribosomal RNA, 654 nt
Filed under: Triticum aestivum (bread wheat)
Lineage: Eukaryota; Viridiplantae; Streptophyta; Magnoliopsida; Poales; Poaceae
Description: partial small subunit ribosomal RNA
Source: RNAcentral
AUGCCUCUUCCUAUUCCUUAUCAACCUUGUGAAGACAUUAGCAUGGAGUUUGUACUUGGUUUGCCUAGAACUAAAAAUGGAAAAGAUUUCGUCUUUGUUGUUGUGGACCGAUUUUCUAAGAUGGCACAUUUCAUUCCAUGCAACAAGAUAGACGAUGCUUCACAUGUUGCCACUCUCUUUUGUAGGGAAAUAUUGCGACUCCAUGGAGUACCAAAUACAAUCGUCUCGGACCGUGACAUCAAGUUCUUGAGUUACUUUUGGAAGACGUUAUGUGCCAAGCUCGGAAUCAAGCUCUUGUUCUCUUUGGCAUACCAUCCUCAAACCGACGGCCAAACGGAGGUGACGAACCAUACACUCUCCACUCUACUUUGCGUGUUGAUCAAGAGGAACAUCAAGGAGUGGGAGGAGUGUCUACCCAUCACCGAGUACGCCUACAACCGUGCAAGACAUUCGACUAUCGGCAUGUCCCCCUUCGAGGUCGUCUACAGCUUCAACCCAUUAUCCCAAUUGGACAUCCUACCUCUUCCUCUACAAGAGUGCACCAACCUCGAUGCGAGUGCACGAGCAAGCUACCUCAAGAAGAUGCAUGAAGAUACAAGGCGCACCAUCAAGUGCCAAGUACAACGACUCAUGACCAAGCUCUGCACCCCAUGA